GGGUUGUGAGGUUAAGCGAAUAAGCGUACACGGUGGAUGCCUAGGCAAUCAGAGGCGAUGAAGGACGUGCUAAUCUGCGAAAAGCGUCGGUAAGGUGAUAUGAACCGUUAUACCCGACGAUAUCCGAAUGGGGAAACCCAGUAUCCAAUGGAUACUAUCAUUAACUGAAUCCAUAGGUUAAUGAGGCGAACCGGGAGAACUGAAACAUCUCAGUACCCCGAGGAAAAGAAAUCAACCGAGAUUCCCCUAGUAGCGGCGAGCGAACGGGGAGCAGCCCAGAGUCUUAAUCAAUAGCAGUGUCAGGAGAACGGUCUGGAAAGUCCGGCAGUAAAGGGUGAUAGCCCCGUAUCUGAAGAUGCUGUUAUUGUGAACUCGACGAGUAGGGCGGGACACGUGUUAUCCUGUCUGAAUAUGGGGGGACCAUCCUCCAAGGCUAAAUACUCCUGAUUGACCGAUAGUGAACCAGUACCGUGAGGGAAAGGCGAAAAGAACCCCGGCGAGGGGAGUGAAAAAGAACCUGAAACCGUGUACGUACAAGCAGUAGGAGCCUCUUUAUGGGGUGACUGCGUACCUUUUGUAUAAUGGGUCAGCGACUUAUAUUCUGUAGCAAGGUUAACCGUAUAGGGGAGCCGUAGGGAAACCGAGUCUUAACUGGGCGAAUGAGUUGCAGGGUAUAGACCCGAAACCCGGUGAUCUAUCCAUGGGCAGGUUGAAGGUUGGGUAACACUAACUGGAGGACCGAACCGACUAAUGUUGAAAAAUUAGCGGAUGACUUGUGGAUGGGGGUGAAAGGCCAAUCAAACCGGGAGAUAGCUGGUUCUCCCCGAAAGCUAUUUAGGUAGCGCCUCGUGAACUCAUCUUCGGGGGUAGAGCACUGUUUCGACUAGGGGGUCAUCCCGACUUACCAACUCGAUGCAAACUGCGAAUACCGAAGAAUGUUAUCACGGGAGACACACGGCGGGUGCUAACGUCCGUCGUGAAGAGGGAAACAACCCAGACCGCCAGCUAAGGUCCCAAAGUCAUGGUUAAGUGGGAAACGAAGUGGGAAGGCUCAGACAGCCAGGAUGUUGGCUUAGAAGCAGCCAUCAUUUAAAGAAAGCGUAAUAGCUCACUGGUCGAGUCGGCCCGCGCGGAAGAUGUAACGGGGCUAAACCAUGCACCGAAGCUGCGGCAGCGACACAAAGUGUUGUUGGGUAGGGGAGCGUUCUGUAAGCCUGCGAAGGUGUACUGUGAGGUAUGCUGGAGGUAUCAGAAGUGCGAAUGCUGACAUAAGUAACGAUAAUGCGGGUGAAAAACCCGCACGCCGGAAGACCAAGGGUUCCUGUCCAACGUUAAUCGGGGCAGGGUGAGUCGACCCCUAAGGCGAGGCUGAAAAGCGUAGUCGAUGGGAAACGGGUUAAUAUUCCCGUACUGGUGGUAACUGCGAUGGGGGAACGGAGAAGGCUAGGUUGUCCGGGCGACGGUCGUCCCGGUUCAAGCAGGUAGGCAGAGUGAUUAGGCAAAUCCGGUCACUUAAUGCUGAGAUGUGAUGACGAACCACCAAGGUGGUGAAGCAAUUGAUGCCCCGCUUCCAGGAAAAGCCUCUAAGCUUCAGGUUACCAACAAUCGUACCCCAAACCGACACAGGUGGUCAGGUAGAGAAUACUCAGGCGCUUGAGAGAACUCGGGUGAAGGAACUAGGCAAAAUGGUGCCGUAACUUCGGGAGAAGGCACGCUGGCGGUAGGUAAAGUCCCUUGCGGACAGAGCUGAAGCCAGUCGAAGAUACCAGCUGGCUGCAACUGUUUAUUAAAAACACAGCACUGUGCAAACACGAAAGUGGACGUAUACGGUGUGACGCCUGCCCGGUGCUGGAAGGUUAAUUGAUGGGGUUAGCCGUAAGGCGAAGCUCCUGAUCGAAGCCCCA
This 1904-nucleotide ribosomal RNA is filed under the name Enterobacter hormaechei. RNAcentral's name for it is "partial 23S ribosomal RNA". It matches the Rfam family "Bacterial large subunit ribosomal RNA", at positions 1 to 1922 of the family's 2925-position model. Lineage: Bacteria; Pseudomonadati; Pseudomonadota; Gammaproteobacteria; Enterobacterales; Enterobacteriaceae. The record is from RNAcentral.